Long non-coding RNA from Anser brachyrhynchus (Pink-footed goose), 1977 nucleotides. The record is from Ensembl. NCBI's taxonomy places the organism in Eukaryota, Metazoa, Chordata, Aves, Anseriformes, Anatidae.
GCCUUUUUCAAAUGUGACUAAACUUGACAAUUUAUCUCAUCGAAGUCUCCACUCUCCAUAGUAAGUUGUCCUACUGUGCCUGGAUAUUUCAGAGCUAACCAAACAAGCACAGCUUUACAAUGACUCCUUUUUGAUAAAACUUUCCACUCAGAUGAAUAAUACUUUUUUUUUUCUUCUUUUUUUUUUUUUUUCUCUUUUUACAUGAAAAAAUCCCAGUGUGUUGUAGAAGAGUUGGAAACAUGGGGUUUGGUCAGGGAAAGGAGGACUGGCCCCAGAAUCAAAACAGAAGACCUGCCUGUUCGAGCUGGUCCAACGCCACGAUGUAGUGAUGUUUGUGAUAGCUUCAGUUCCUAUGGCAACGUGACAGCAUGAUUUACUGCAAUAACAGAGGGAGCGAAUGUGAAGCUUAUGUUUAACUUCAAUGCCGUGAGCUCUGUGUUGAUACCGGAGGGGGGGGGGAAGUUCUUUGACUUCUAGUAAAGCACAUUACUAAUGUGUCUUACAUAUAAAGACAAGUCAAUAAAGGAGAUUGUGGUGUUCAAAUUUCCCUUGCUUGCUCAUGGAGCUUGCAUGCACGUGCAUACCGUGAGUUUGGCUUCCCUAUGAUGCAGCCUGCAAUACCUGUCCGUGAUGGAGAGCUCAGGAGAGCAGCACAGCUGAGGGCACCGAAGAGGCAGUGGUGGAGCUGCUGGCUUAGGCUGCCUUCUGUGCUAGGUGUUCUGGCUGGCAGCACUGCAGUUGGAAGGCUAGCCAUGAGCAUGAAGGAGUGGGAUCAUCCAGGACAAACCCAACAGGGAACUGAAACCCCCCCAAAUAAUUCUGGUUCUGCCACUGGCUGCCCAUGUGAGUGGCUCUGUGGGGGCUGCUCAACACCAAAAACAGACCAAGAAAGAUUUCAGUUUCCAACAGUGCAUCCUCGCCUGAAGUUUUUGCCUUACUUGCUUUGUGACACUCUCCCCUCUGAGAAAGCAGGAUAAUCCUGGGUCCUCUGUGCCAUGGCAGUGCCUGGCUUGGGUGCCAGGCAUGGCAAGGCCUCCAAAGAACCUCCUCUAUUCCUUCUGUGUCUUACGUUCAUCUAUCACUGUUGGCUACCGAGCUCUUCCAAGGACAGAAAGCUCAACUAGAUAGCUCCCAUCUACUCCACUAAGACUCUUCGAGAAUGUCAUUAUGACUUUGUAAAGCACCAUCUGAUGCCAACCAGCAGUGAGUGGCUGGGGACCCUACCAGCAAGUUCCCUAAUCUUUGGUCUGAGCUCACUCCUGAACCCUGCCAUGCAGCUCCACUCCUCUAAAUGGAGGCGCUGCUGCUCUGAAGCAGUGCUGGUGAGAUACAGAUCAGCCCUUGCUGUCCUUUGUAAAAUAUAUCUGAUGUCAUAUAAUGAUAUUUUUUUCCCCCAUGUAAAUAGCACAAUAUCAUACAUCAGCAGUAAAUACCAUUGUUGAAAUGGCACAAAGCUUUGGGGAUAAUUAUAGGAAAGAUCUUGCCCAUUUGCUUUCCUUAUACCUUGCAAUUAUAGAUGGGUGUUUGUUUAUUCUUUGUUUAAUCUGCACCAGUUCUUAUUCAGUAAGAUCCUUCUGUAGUGUGUGCUGCUGGAGUGCAUUUGUAAAACCAAAUGAGCAAAGAGGACACAGAUGUUGCUCUGCAUUCUCUUUUUAGCCAUACAAAUUAUAAACAAUGUCUCUUUAUAUUAAGAUACACUUUUCUGUCCCAUAUUGGUUUUAGAGCUGAUUCUUUCAGUAUGUUUUCUGUUUAUAGCAGCCGGUUCUUGUUUAAAUAUCCCCACUACUGUAAUGCAUGUGAAGCAGUAUUGCUAUCACAUUGACUGUGCAUACCUGAAAUCCAUCUGUAUAUUACUGAACUGAUGUAAGGACAAAAGAAUUAAUAACAUGGUAGAGAGCCACAUGGAUAAUGCAUCUCUUGCUGAAGUCUACACUGACAAGUCAACGAGUGUACCUCGGUUUGUGUGUAACGAGGUAA